UGAAGACAGAGCUGAGCCGCAAGGCGAAGCUCUCGAUUUACCGGUCAAUCUAUGUUCCUAAUCUUACCUAUGGUCAUGAGCUUUGGGUCAUGACCGAAAGGACAAUAUCCCGGAUACAGGCGGCCGAAAUGAGCUUUCUCCGCAGGGUGGCUGGGCGAUCCCUUAGAGAUAGGGUGAGAAGCUCGGUCACCCGGGAGGAGCUCAGAGUCGAGCCGCUGCUCCUCCACAUCGAGAGGGGUCAGCUGAGGUGGCUUGGGCAUCUGUUUCGGAUGUCUCCGGAAUGCCUUCCUUCCCGUCCCACCGGGAGGAGACCCCGGGGAAGACCUAGGACACGCUGGAUGGACUAUGUCUCCCGGCUGGCCUGGGAACACCUCGGUGUCCCCCCGGAAGAGCUAGAGGAAGUGUCUGGGGAGAGGGAAGUCUGGGCAUCUCUGUUUAGACUGCUGCCCCCGCGACCCGGCCCCGGAUAAGUGGAAGAUGAUGGAUGGAUGAACAUUUAAAGAAAAUAUUUGUAUGUACAAUUAAGGUUAAGUCGAGCUGUCAGGUCAUCAUUCUUCCUAAUUUUCCUUGGUGCUCUCGAGGAGGACGAAGAGGAGUCGAGAGAGGAUGUACCUGAAGAGACACUCCUAGGUUGUAAUUAGACAUGGCAGGUUCUAAUGAUGGUCUGUUCUCAGCCUUUGGGUCAACUGAUGCAGCUGGUGAAGUUAAAUCUGAGUCCAGGGCUACACUACCUGAAGGGGGAUCUCUCCUCUUCCAUCUCCCCUGUUGGCUUUCUACUCUCUGUACCCUUCUGUCCCUCACUAACAAGACACUUCUCU
Esox lucius (northern pike) is the source of this 818-nucleotide long non-coding RNA. Lineage: Eukaryota; Metazoa; Chordata; Actinopteri; Esociformes; Esocidae. The record is from Ensembl.